ACGUGCACAAAUGCCUGGGCCCUGAUGAGAUGCCCCCACGAGUACUGAGCUGGCAGUGGUGGACAUUAUGGCCAGGCUGGUCUGUACCAUCUCUGAAAGAUGGUGGAGAACUGGAGAGGUGCCUGCAGCCUGGAAGAAAGCCAACGUCACUGCAGUCUUCCCAAAGGGCAAGGAGGAGGACCGAGGCAAGUACCGGCCAGUUGGCCUCACCUCCAUCCUUGGAAAGGUGAUGGAACAGCUCGUUCUGGACGUGAUCUCCAAGCAUAUGGAGGAGAAGAAUGUGAUCAGGGAUGGUCAGCAUGGGUUCCCCAAGGGGAAAUCCUGCUUAACCAAUCUGACAGCCUUCCAUGAUGGAGUGACUGGCUGGGUAGAUGGGAGGAGAUCACGGCUGUGUCCCUUGACUUCAGCACGGCUUUCGACACUGUCUCCCAUAACUUCCUGCUAGGAAUGUGAAAGCGCAAGUGCGGAGCGAAUACCUGAUGUAAUGAAGUUGUAACCAGUAGAAAAAUUUGGAUAAGGUCCUCGCUGAAAAGUGCAUCUGGUAUCAGCAGCGAGGUUUGGGACAACAGUUUGGCACCGCAGAUGGGACUUGCCAUAAGGCCUUGCCCAAAUCACAUGUCCGUUCCUGACAGUGGAUCGAGCUGCAGCACGCACCACCCUGUUAAGCGGGGAGUCCUGCGACCUCCCUCCGAAGCGGGGACAACAGGAGACUGCAAGGUGCAACGGCGACCAGUGCUAUUUGCACCAGGGCGAAAGCAGGGUGAGGCUUUGGAUCGCAGUCUGUUGGAUCAUCUGGGAAAAAUGCUGAGAAGCUGCACCAGCUUUUGGAGACUCUCAGGAUAAGUGAUAACCCUAAGGAGGGAGAGGGGCAGGCGCUGUUGACUGCUUUCCUGCUGGGAGAAGGAAGGAGCCGCCUUCUCGAGAAGAACAACCAGCGCAGGACCUAAGGGCUGUGAACCAGAGCCAGCCGAUCUUUGCCUUUGCAAGGGAGAGCCCCGCUACGAGGAGGACGGAGCAGUUACGCUGGACGGUCCUUGGUCAAGGAUUGCAGGAGAGCCCUGCCCUGUUUGGUGAGAGCUUGGCCCAGGAAGCGGCCCAGUGGCAGGAAGGUGAUCAAAAUGCCGCUCUUUGCCGGUGUGUGGAUGAGCUCUUGAUUGGAGGUGACUUGGAGCAAAUAUGUCUGGAGGCGACGGUACUUUUUGUGGCUGGCCAGAAGCUUUCCCAUGCUCCACUGAUGAUGCCAAAGAAGUAAUUAAGAUUCUACUAAAAGGAAUGAUUCCUCAGUUGCUUCAGGAAUAUGUUUCCUGUGAGGGUGACAGAGCACUGGCACAGGUUACCCAGAGAGCUUGUGGAGUCUCCUUCUCUGGAGCUAUUCAAGGGCCAGCUGGAUGCAACCCUGUCUAACACGCUGUAGGUGACCGUGC
This is a long non-coding RNA of Rhea pennata, 1424 nucleotides long. RefSeq lists it as uncharacterized. The record is from RefSeq and is a predicted model, not a curated record. NCBI's taxonomy places the organism in Eukaryota, Metazoa, Chordata, Aves, Rheiformes, Rheidae. The transcript has 6 exons.